Molecule: ribosomal RNA, 253 nt
Filed under: uncultured bacterium
Lineage: Bacteria
Description: partial 16S ribosomal RNA
Rfam family: Bacterial small subunit ribosomal RNA
Source: RNAcentral
UACGAGGGGGGCAAGUGUUGUUCGGAAUCACUGGGCGUAAAGGGUGCGUAGGUGGGAAGGUAAGUCAGUGGUGAAAUCCCCGAGCUUAACUUGGGAACUGCCAUUGAUACUAUCUUUCUUGAAUACCUUGGAGGUGAGCGGAAUAUGUCAUGUAGCGGUGAAAUGCUUAGAUAUGACAUAGAACACCAAUUGCGAAGGCAGCUCACUACACGGUCAUUGACACUGAGGCACGAAAGCGUGGGGAUCAAACAGG